GACGAACGCUGGCGGCGUGCUUAACACAUGCAAGUCGAACGGAAAGGCCUCUUUCGGGGGGUACUCGAGUGGCGAACGGGUGAGUAACACGUGAGUAACCUGCCCUUGACUUUGGGAUAACUUCAGGAAACUGGGGCUAAUACCGGAUAGGAGCUCCUGCUGCAUGGUGGGGGUUGGAAAGUUUCGGCGGUUGGGGAUGGACUCGCGGCUUAUCAGCUUGGUGGUGGGGUAGUGGCUUACCAAGGCUUUGACGGGUAGCCGGCCUGAGAGGGGGACCGGCCACAUUGGGACUGAGAUACGGCCCAGACGCCGACGGGAGGCAGCAGUGGGGAAUAUUGCACAAUGGGUGGAAGCCUGAUGCAGCAACGCCGUGUGCGGGAUGACGGCCUUCGGGUUGUAAACCGCUUUCGCUCAUGACGAAGCUUUGUGUGACGGUAGUGGGUAAAGAAGCACCGGCUAACUACGUG
Molecule: ribosomal RNA, 467 nt
Filed under: uncultured bacterium
Lineage: Bacteria
Description: partial 16S ribosomal RNA
Rfam family: Bacterial small subunit ribosomal RNA
Source: RNAcentral